Long non-coding RNA from Manis pentadactyla (Chinese pangolin), 641 nucleotides. RefSeq lists it as uncharacterized. The record is from RefSeq and is a predicted model, not a curated record. NCBI's taxonomy places the organism in Eukaryota, Metazoa, Chordata, Mammalia, Pholidota, Manidae. The transcript has 2 exons.
CCCUCACAGCCAGGCUGCAGGGGUCUGGGAUCCAAGGGGCAGACCCUUCACUGCAUGUGCAGCUUGGAUUCCCUAGUUCCUCAAUCCCAGCUGAGCAAAGGUACAGAGAUGCAUCCACAUGGGUCACUGGGUCCUGCUUCCCACCACCUACUCCCACCUGCUGCCUCCUCCGUGCAAGGACCCCAGCAUCCCCAGAUGUCAUCUGUAGUUCGCAAUCCCGUAGAACACCUGGUGCAUCUCCUGGUGGGUGUCCUUUUGGGGACCAGGACCUCUGACCCUGUAUAGCACAGGUGAGAUUUAGACAGGUGGUGGCAGCCGUGAAAACACGCGACUCCUGAGGCUAGUUCACAUGAAGGCUAAGCUUUCCUCGUCUCCAGACACUGGUCUUGGAAGCCCGCAUCAUAGUGUGAGGAGGCCUAGGGGAGUGGCCGUGUGUGAGUGUGUUGACCGACGUCCCCAGUCUGGGCUCCAGCAUCAACUGUCAAGACGUGAGCAAGUGAACCUGCAGAAGACUUGAACUGCCAGCCCUCAAGCCGCUCCAGCUGGGGCUCCAGAUGCUGCAGAACAGAGAUGAGCCAUCCCCACCAUGCCCUGCCCCACAGUGACCUAGAGAGAGAAUAAAUGACUCUUGUUUUAAGCCA